AGAGUUUGAUCCUGGCUCAGGAUGAACGCUAGCGGCAGGCUUAACACAUGCAAGUCGAGGGGCAGCGCGGGUAGCAAUAUCUGGCGGCGACCGGCAAACGGGUGCGGAACACGUACACAACAUACCUUUUACUGGAGCAUAGCCCGUUGAAAAGCGGAUUAACACUCCAUAAUAUAAUUGGAAGGCAUCUUCUGGUUAUUAAAAAUUUAUUGGUAAGAGAUUGGUGUGCGUCCUAUUAGCUAGUUGGUAGGGUAACGGCCUACCAAGGCGACGAUAGGUAGCUGGUGUGAGAGCACGACCAGCCACACGGGCACUGAGACACGGGCCCGACUCCUACGGGAGGCAGCAGUGAGGAAUAUUGGUCAAUGGACGAGAGUCUGAACCAGCCAUGCCGCGUGAAGGAUGAAGGCGUUCUGCGUUGUAAACUUCUUUUAUCUGGGAAGAAACCUUCUUUUUCUAAAGAAGCCGACGGUACCAGAGGAAUAAGCACCGGCUAACUCCGUGCCAGCAGCCGCGGUAAUACGGAGGGUGCAAGCGUUAUCCGGAUUUACUGGGUUUAAAGGGUGUGUAGGCGGACUUUUAAGUCAGCGGUGAAAUCUCCGGGCUCAACCCGGAAACUGCCAUUGAUACUAUUAGUCUUGAAUAUUGUUGAGGUAGGCGGAACGGGUCAUGUAGCGGUGAAAUGCAUAGAUAUGACCCGGAACACCGAUUGCGAAGGCAGCCUACUAAGCAAUUAUUGACGCUGAGGCACGAAAGCGUGGGGAUCAAACAGGAUUAGAUACCCUGGUAGUCCACGCCCUAAACGAUGAUUACUCGACGUUGGCGAUACACUGAUCAGCGUCCAAGCGAAAGCAUUAAGUAAUCCACCUGGGAAGUACGUUCGCAAGAAUGAAACUCAAAGGAAUUGACGG
Molecule: ribosomal RNA, 911 nt
Filed under: uncultured bacterium
Lineage: Bacteria
Description: bacterial SSU rRNA
Rfam family: Bacterial small subunit ribosomal RNA
Source: RNAcentral